This 482-nucleotide ribosomal RNA is filed under the name uncultured bacterium. Its description in RNAcentral is "partial 16S ribosomal RNA". It matches the Rfam family "Bacterial small subunit ribosomal RNA", at positions 28 to 523 of the family's 1533-position model. The record is from RNAcentral.
AGUGAACGUUGGCGGCGUGGAUUAGGCAUGCAAGUCGAGCGAGAACCGUAGCAAUACGGGGACAGCGGCGAAAGGGACAGUAAUGUGUAGGUACCUACCUCCGGGUUCGGGAUAGCUGCGGGAAACUGCAGGUAAUACCGAAUAACGUCUCCGGACCAAAGGUGUGAUUCCACCUGGAGAGGGGCCUGCAUCCUAUUAGCUUGUUGGCGGGGUAACGGCCCACCAAGGCGACGAUGGGUAGCGGGUGUGAGAGCACGACCCGCGUAAUUGGGGCUGAGACACUGCCCGGACACCUACGGGUGGCUGCAGUCGUGAAUCUUCGGCAAUGGGCGCAAGCCUGACCGAGCGACGCCGCGUGCGGGAUGAAGGCCUUCGGGUUGUAAACCGCUGUCGUAGAGGAGGAAAUGCAGGGGGGUUCUCCCCUCUGUUUGACCUAUUCUAGGAGGAAGUACGGGCUAAGUUCGUGCCAGCCGCCGCCGUAA